RNAcentral lists this ribosomal RNA (253 nucleotides) under uncultured bacterium. RNAcentral describes it as "partial 16S ribosomal RNA". It matches the Rfam family "Bacterial small subunit ribosomal RNA", at positions 524 to 776 of the family's 1533-position model. The record is from RNAcentral.
UACGAAGGGGGCUAGCGUUGUUCGGAAUUACUGGGCGUAAAGCGUGCGCAGGCGGCUUCUCAAGUCAGGGGUGAAAGCCCAGAGCUCAACUCUGGAAUUGCCUUUGAGACUGAGUGGCUUGAGUACGAGAGAGGUGAGUGGAAUUCCCAGUGUAGAGGUGAAAUUCGUAGAUAUUGGGAAGAACACCGGUGGCGAAGGCGGCUAUCUGGACCGUAACUGACGCUGAGGCGCGAAAGCGUGGGGAGCAAACAGG